This is a non-coding RNA of Nothobranchius furzeri (turquoise killifish), 3782 nucleotides long. The record is from RefSeq and is a predicted model, not a curated record. NCBI's taxonomy places the organism in Eukaryota, Metazoa, Chordata, Actinopteri, Cyprinodontiformes, Nothobranchiidae.
UAUAUUUUUUGGGUUCAGUUGCUUUCAUGUGGCCUAAUGUGAGUCUAUUUGGGAUCAUUGGAAUGAUCAGCAGCAUUUCUUGAUGUGACUUUAUGGCAGUUGCCCAGGGCAUCAUCGCAAGGAGGAUGGCAUUCAUUUAUUUUUGUUUUAUUUGGUAUUUUUUCAGUCAAUUUUGGAAAUAGUGAUUAAUUUUGAUUAAUUCACAGCCUAUGUUUAAUUACAUUUAAAAAUUAGUUGUUUGACACCCCCAAUUAUAAUAAAUGUCUACAGAUGAGAUCAAACAAAACAGAUGAGAAUUGCCCUUAAAGAGCAAGUCACCACCAAAUAAACUUUUUUUUGCUGAUAAACUAAAUAAACGAGUGUCUAAUCGUGCUGCAGACACGUGUCGUCAAUAAUUUGGCACUUCAGUGCAUCUUAGUUAAAAUUUUAAUAUUCAGCCUAAAACUGGCAGUGUUGUGCCAUUGUCAGGUAAAAACUCUGCUCUGUAUUUUAAUUUAAAUCUGCCACCGCUAUUGGCUAAGAAGUAUGUUAUGAUGUAAACUGGUACAUUAUGAUGUCACAAUGCUGCCGUGAGCCUGAGUGUGUGUGUAUUUGUUAGUGGCUCCGCCCUCUCGGUCUGCCAGGCAACAGCAUGUGUUGCAUUUUUCAAACAUGAAGUGGGAGUGGAGUUAGACUCUGGUAGGGGUUGACUUGCUCUUUAAGCUGUUUAACUUGGACCAAGCAUUUUAGGUCACAGAUAGGUGUAGCUUAGGGUCUCUGUCUAUACAGCUUAUAAGACAAUUUAGGUGAUGGCAUGUUGUUUUUCUGCUAUUGAACUGUUUUCUAAUAAUGUUGUGUUUAAUAAAGUGAAGGAAGGAGAGAAAUAAUGGUUCCCUAGCAGUUUUUAACAAUGUCCCCAUGUAAUCCGAUUAAUCGAUUAAUCGUGUCGAGACCCCAUCCGAUUAAUCGAUUAUCCAAAUAAUAGUUUGUUGCAGCCCUAUUUCAAACACAUCAAUCUGAGGAAACAGCCUCAACAAAAUUUUAAAAAGUUUCCCUUUUUCUUCAGCGGGUCAUCUCCUUCGGGCUGGCACUGGCCACAUGGGCGCCCUACGCGCAGUGUGUGAAGUGCGUGGGUGGAGGGCCGGCGCUGAUCUCUUUUGACAAAAACUCUGUAAUUAAAAACUCUUCAGCAAAAGGAAAUCAGCAACCUUAACCUGCUGAGCCCAACAUUAGAAGCUUUUUAGUUGCAAAUCUGUUUGUGUUACCAUGGAAACAAUAAAUUGGGUUGGUAUUUCUUAAUGAGCUCUGUUUUCUGAAGUUUUUCCUUUAUCUGUUGUCUGCACAUCUGAUUUUGACAGAAAAUGUUUCAAUCGGGUUGUUGUUUUCCAGACGAAUGCGUUCACAGCAAUCCACAGGGAUUAUCAAUUGUUAUUAUUAUGAGACAUAAGAAGAGCUAAACGCUCUUUGUAGGCAAAAUGUCAGAGAGCAUUUUGUGCAACUGCCCCAACAUAAGUGACCGGUAGGUGUAAUCAGUUGUCUACCAGCAUCAGCUCUUAUGCUACAGUGUUUCAAGUCUUUACACUUUUGUACUCAAAUUACCAUUAUAUUUAAAUAAUUGAUGUUAUUCACUUCACCUGCCUGCAAAUUGAUCCCUGUGGGUGAUUCUGUCUCUAGUUCAAAAAUAGGUUUUUCCUGUCCUAUGUGGCUGCCGUCCUGCAUGUUUUAGAUGCAUCCACACACCUGAAUUAAAUCAGGGUUCUGUUGAAUUUGAGGACUUUCUAAAAGGCAUUGAUUAAACAUUCUAAUCAGGUGCGCUAAAGCAAGGAAAGUUCCUAAAUGUGCAGAGUAGUCACUCUUAAAUAUCUAAUUUGCUACACAUUACACAAAAUUGUAAAAUUCAACAAUUUUAAUCAUAUAUUGACCUAAAUAUCUCAAGUGUUUGCUUCAUAAAUUUUGUGAAUCUACAUUAAUGCCUUCAAAGUAAAUGCAAGUUCAAAGAUUUCAGAAUUGGUGCACAAAAAGUGGUGGGGCUUGUUUGUUUAGGUAGCUAAGUGGCCUAGUGUCUUCCCUGGAACUGUGAAACCGGGGAUCAAAUCCCGGUCGGGUCAUGCCAAAGACUUUUAAAAUGGGACCCAAUGUCUCCAUGCUUGUUGCUCAGCUUUAAAAUGGCUGGAUUGGUGGGUUAAACCACCAAAUAGUUCUCAGCGCGGCUGUGUCUGCAGCUCCCUGCUCCCCGCGGGGAUGGGUAAAAUGUGGAGGACAGUAUGAAGGUAGUCACAAUUCUAGGGGUAAAACUUGAUGCUGCUUUCACAAAUUUCACUUGUUAUACGUUCCUGUUUUUUCCACCUUUGGAGGAUCACUAAGAUCAAGCCAACGCUGUCGAGGGCCCAUUUAGAAACAGUUUUACAUGCAUUUGUAUUGUCUCCCCUUGACUGUAAUGCUGUGUAUGCUGGUGUGAGCUCAGGUGCAUUUGCCCGCCUUCAACUUGUUCAGAACUCAGUGGCCAGAUUCUUGUCCGGUACUAGGCGGAGUGAGCAUAUCAACUUCACUGGCUCCCAGCUGAGUAUCGGGUUAUGUUUAAAACCCUGCUGUCUGUGAAAAAGGCCCUACAGGGCACUGCCCCAACUAUCUUUCCUCACUGCUCCAUAGAUACACCCCCACAAGGGCCUUGCAUUCCCUAGACAGGGAACUUUUGGAAGUGCCACGCUCUAGAUACAAAUCUAGGCGGGGCCGUGCCUUUCCUGUGGCGGCCCACAACAUCCCUCCAGUCUUUCAUGUCUCGUUUAAAAACACAUUUUUACCAAUUGGCCUUUUACAGUUGAGUCACAAGUUUUUAUUGUGAUUUUAUUAUUUUAUUGUCUUGCAAGUUCACUUUUAUUAUUACUUAUUUAAUCAUUUUAUUGUUGGAAUGUUUUUUUUUAAAUAUACUCUUGUCUCAUUAUUUUAUUUUGUAAUAGUGUGCAGCACCUUCUGCUACUACAAGGCUAGUGCAAGGUGCUAUGGAAAUCAAAACAUCAUAUAUGACAUCAAACAGCGAUGUCAAACGGGACUGCCUUGCUUUUGAUUCAAUGUAGAGCUGAAACAACUAAUCGAUUUAAUCGAUUAUAAUCGAUUAUUAAAAUAGUUAACAACUUUUUUAGUCAUCGAUUAGUUGUUUAAUAAUCAUAUUUUACUGCAUAAAGUCUAUUUUUUACCACAAUCUGACAUCGGUUACAAUCUGUUAAAUUUGCCGCCAGUGUGUGGCAGUAAUGAGCCACUGAUCUACCAGUGGGGCCGUAGAAGAAGAAAUUAGCCAAUAAGUGCCCUCGGUUUUCAUGACGUAUCACGUUACUGACGCGCAUCUUGCUGUGAGAGAUGGCGGAUCAACAACAAAUACGGAAGAAAAAUAGAAGCGACAAAACAAGAGAAACCCCGGACAAAAACCUCACGAGUAUGGGAGCACUUCACUAGAUGCCUUGAAAAGACCGGUGACCUACAAAAUAUGCAAAAACCAUGGCACGACGGAAGCACGACGUCCCUAAGUGAACAUUUGAGAUGAAAACAUGUGGGGGCUGAUGCAGCAGAGGAAAGUCCGAAAAAAACAAGCAACGAUGGACAACUACAUGGGGAACAAGACACUCACCCCCAGCAAUGCAUACCACUUACAAACUCUAUUCCAGAUUCUACAUUAUUUUUUAUGGAAUUUACCUCUUAUAUUUUGAUGCCAAAAAAUUAUUCUGGACUGAUAUUUUGCACUGUUUAGCUCAUUUUACACUGCUGACUGUGGUCAUGUGCAAUAAAAUAGAUUGCAGUCAACUGCACAA